AAUGGGUCAGCGACUUAUAUUCUGUAGCAAGGUUAACCGAAUAGGGGAGCCGAAGGGAAACCGAGUCUUAACUGGGCGUUAAGUUGCAGGGUAUAGACCCGAAACCCGGUGAUCUAGCCAUGGGCAGGUUGAAGGUUGGGUAACACUAACUGGAGGACCGAACCGACUAAUGUUGAAAAAUUAGCGGAUGACUUGUGGCUGGGGGUGAAAGGCCAAUCAAACCGGGAGAUAGCUGGUUCUCCCCGAAAGCUAUUUAGGUAGCGCCUCGUGAAUUCAUCUCCGGGGGUAGAGCACUGUUUCGGCAAGGGGGUCAUCCCGACUUACCAACCCGAUGCAAACUGCGAAUACCGGAGAAUGUUAUCACGGGAGACACACGGCGGGUGCUAACGUCCGUCGUGAAGAGGGAAACAACCCAGACCGCCAGCUAAGGUCCCAAAGUCAUGGUUAAGUGGGAAACGAUGUGGGAAGGCCCAGACAGCCAGGAUGUUGGCUUAGAAGCAGCCAUCAUUUAAAGAAAGCGUAAUAGCUCACUGGUCGAGUCGGCCUGCGCGGAAGAUGUAACGGGGCUAAACCAUGCACCGAAGCUGCGGCAGCGACACUAUGUGUUGUUGGGUAGGGGAGCGUUCUGUAAGCCUGUGAAGGUGUGCUGUGAGGCAUGCUGGAGGUAUCAGAAGUGCGAAUGCUGACAUAAGUAACGAUAAAGCGGGUGAAAAGCCCGCUCGCCGGAAGACCAAGGGUUCCUGUCCAACGUUAAUCGGGGCAGGGUGAGUCGACCCCUAAGGCGAGGCCGAAAGGCGUAGUCGAUGGGAAACAGGUUAAUAUUCCUGUACUUGGUGUUACUGCGAAGGGGGGACGGAGAAGGCUAUGUUGGCCGGGCGACGGUUGUCCCGGUUUAAGCGUGUAGGCUGGUUUUCCAGGCAAAUCCGGAAAAUCAAGGCUGAGGCGUGAUGACGAGGCACUACGGUGCUGAAGCAACAAAUGCCCUGCUUCCAGGAAAAGCCUCUAAGCAUCAGGUAACAUCAAAUCGUACCCCAAACCGACACAGGUGGUCAGGUAGAGAAUACCAAGGCGCUUGAGAGAACUCGGGUGAAGGAACUAGGCAAAAUGGUGCCGUAACUUCGGGAGAAGGCACGCUGAUAUGUAGGUGAAGCGACUUGCUCGUGGAGCUGAAAUCAGUCGAAGAUACCAGCUGGCUGCAACUGUUUAUUAAAAACACAGCACUGUGCAAACACGAAAGUGGACGUAUACGGUGUGACGCCUGCCCGGUGCCGGAAGGUUAAUUGAUGGGGUUAGCGCAAGCGAAGCUCUUGAUCGAAGCCCCGGUAAACGGCGGCCGUAACUAUAACGGUCCUAAGGUAGCGAAAUUCCUUGUCGGGUAAGUUCCGACCUGCACGAAUGGCGUAAUGAUGGCCAGGCUGUCUCCACCCGAGACUCAGUGAAAUUGAACUCGCUGUGAAGAUGCAGUGUACCCGCGGCAAGACGGAAAGACCCCGUGAACCUUUACUAUAGCUUGACACUGAACAUUGAGCCUUGAUGUGUAGGAUAGGUGGGAGGCUUUGAAGUGUGGACGCCAGUCUGCAUGGAGCCGACCUUGAAAUACCACCCUUUAAUGUUUGAUGUUCUAACGUUGGCCCGUUAUCCGGGUUGCGGACAGUGUCUGGUGGGUAGUUUGACUGGGGCGGUCUCCUCCUAAAGAGUAACGGAGGAGCACGAAGGUUGGCUAAUCCUGGUCGGACAUCAGGAGGUUAGUGCAAUGGCAUAAGCCAGCUUGACUGCGAGCGUGACGGCGCGAGCAGGUGCGAAAGCAGGUCAUAGUGAUCCGGUGGUUCUGAAUGGAAGGGCCAUCGCUCAACGGAUAAAAGGUACUCCGGGGAUAACAGGCUGAUACCGCCCAAGAGUUCAUAUCGACGGCGGUGUUUGGCACCUCGAUGUCGGCUCAUCACAUCCUGGGGCUGAAGUAGGUCCCAAGGGUAUGGCUGUUCGCCAUUUAAAGUGGUACGCGAGCUGGGUUUAGAACGUCGUGAGACAGUUCGGUCCCUAUCUGCCGUGGGCGCUGGAGAACUGAGGGGGGCUGCUCCUAGUACGAGAGGACCGGAGUGGACGCAUCACUGGUGUUCGGGUUGUCAUGCCAAUGGCACUGCCCGGUAGCUAAAUGCGGAAGAGAUAAGUGCUGAAAGCAUCUAAGCACGAAACUUGCCCCGAGAUGAGUUCUCCCUGACUCCCUGAGAGUCCUGAAGGAACGUUGAAGACGACGACGUUGAUAGGCCGGGUGUGUAAGCGCAGCGAUGCGUUGAGCUAACCGGUACUAAUGAACCGUGAGG
Molecule: ribosomal RNA, 2321 nt
Filed under: Escherichia coli
Lineage: Bacteria; Pseudomonadati; Pseudomonadota; Gammaproteobacteria; Enterobacterales; Enterobacteriaceae
Description: partial 23S ribosomal RNA
Rfam family: Bacterial large subunit ribosomal RNA
Source: RNAcentral